AUACGUAGGGGGCGAGCGUUGUCCGGAAUGAUUGGGCGUAAAGGGCGCGUAGGCGGCUUUGCAAGUCAGUAGUGGAAGUCCAUUUUUCAAGGAUGGAAGUGCUAGAGAAACUGCGGAGCUUGAGUGCAGGAGAGGUUAUCGGAAUUCCCGGUGUAGCGGUGAAAUGCGUAGAGAUCGGGAGGAACACCAGUGGCGAAGGCGGGUAACUGGACUGCAACUGACGCUGAGGCGCGAAAGUGUGGGGAGCAAACAGGAUUAGAUACCCUGGUAGUCCACACUGUAAACGAUGAAUGCUAGGUGUAGGAGGUAUCGACCCCUUCUGUGCCGCAGUAAACACAGUAAGCAUUCCGCCUGGGGAGUACGGUCGCAAGAUUAAAACUCAAAGGAAUUGACGGGG
This 397-nucleotide ribosomal RNA is filed under the name uncultured bacterium. RNAcentral describes it as "partial 16S ribosomal RNA". It matches the Rfam family "Bacterial small subunit ribosomal RNA", at positions 523 to 918 of the family's 1533-position model. The record is from RNAcentral.